AUGCUCUUGUUUGAACAACUUCGACAAGUCAAUGAUGGACCAUUCAACAUUUUUUUUGAACAGCAAAUUAUUUCCCCCUAAUAAUACACCUAACCAGGUUUAAACCUGAGUUUCACCAAACUAGUCUUUAACUACUUACUACUGGGCCACAGCCCAAGUAUGGACCAUUCAACAUUACCAAUAAAGAUUCUUCUUGUGAUUAAUAUUGUAACUUUGUUUAUCCGCUUUUUUUCAUUAAAUACCAAUUUUCAUAUAUUUAUUUGCAAGAGAUAGUGACAGGAGGCAAAGCAUGUUGGGAGUAGACCCAUGUUUAAAUCUGGACAAAAGGUAAUUUAGAAACAGUGUAACCGAGGGUGUAUAAGUAUUCGCCAUUAAGAAAAUUAAAAGCAAGAAGAUAGUGUGAAAAAAAUGUGACUUUUACAUAACUAACAGAAUACACAUUUCUAUAUAUCGUUGAAAACAAUACCGAUGUACAUUAUGUUUGGAUUAUUACCGAUGUAUAUUAUGUUUGGAUUAAUUUCACCAAUAAAAAAUAGUUACUAAAGCAUCAAUCUAUUAUAAAACAUAGCUAUUCUUGAGUAAACACAAACCCGUAAGAAGAUUUAGAAAACAAACAUGUUCAUAAUUUAGAACACCCCAUGUAAAAAAAAAAAAACAAACCCGUAAAAAGAUCAAAGUAUUUGAAAGGCACUUAUGGGAGGAGCUCCCUUCACCCCAAUCCAAAAAGAUAACAAGAAUCUUGGCUCUACGUUCAUGCUCACCGAAGGCAUGCACACGCAACCAUUGGUGCACCUACAUGUAUUCAUGAACGAGCAAACGUGAACCAUCAAGUAGUUCUUUCAUGAUUGGGGUGAUGAAGAGCUCCAACCAUAAAUAUUCACCCUAGCACUCAAUUCAUUUGUAGUUUUCUCAGCCUUUUCCAACUCUAAAAUUGGAAAUCUUAG
This 944-nucleotide long non-coding RNA is filed under the name Helianthus annuus (common sunflower). Lineage: Eukaryota; Viridiplantae; Streptophyta; Magnoliopsida; Asterales; Asteraceae. The record is from RNAcentral.